This 385-nucleotide unclassified non-coding RNA is filed under the name soil metagenome. Its description in RNAcentral is "partial contains 5.8S ribosomal RNA, internal transcribed spacer 2, and large subunit ribosomal RNA". The stretch from base 1 to 122 matches the Rfam family "5.8S ribosomal RNA", at positions 35 to 154 of the family's 154-position model. The record is from RNAcentral.
GAUGAAGAACGUAGCGAAAUGCGAUAAGUAAUGUGAAUUGCAGAAUUCAGUGAAUCAUCGAAUCUUUGAACGCACCUUGCACCCUUUGGACUGCUCCAAAGGGUAUGCUCGUUUGAGUGUCAUUGUACUCUCACACUCUCUGAUCCUUUGGAUUUGGGGAGCAGUGGACUUGGGUGCUUGCUGCUUCCUUGUGGCUCACCUGAAAUGCAUCAGUGCAUCUCUCGAUUGGACAUAGUACGGCGUGAUAAGUGUCUUCGCCGGCACCUCAUAUGAGGGUGGCCGAUCGGGAGCUCUGUGCUUUCAAACCGUCUUCGGACAACGCUGACAACUUGACCUCAAAUCGAGUAGGACUACCCGCUGAACUUAAGCAUAUCAAUAGCGGAGG